RNAcentral lists this ribosomal RNA (325 nucleotides) under Labiotermes labralis. RNAcentral describes it as "eukaryotic LSU rRNA". It matches the Rfam family "Eukaryotic large subunit ribosomal RNA", at positions 681 to 952 of the family's 3401-position model. The record is from RNAcentral. Lineage: Eukaryota; Metazoa; Arthropoda; Insecta; Blattodea; Termitidae.
UGUGCGCGAGUCACUGGGAUCAUGUCUAAACCCAGAGGCGCAGUGAAAGCGUGGGGCUCGCCCGGCAUAAAGCCGCGGCGAGCCGCUAAGGGAGGACGGCCGGUCGUUCCCGAACGGUGCUGCCGGCCAGCACUCCCGGGGCGCCUCGGCUCCGGCCGCAGGCGCACCCGGAGCGCACACGUUGGGACCCGAAAGAUGGUGAACUAUGCCCGGCCAGGACGAAGUCAGGGGAAACCCUGAUGGAGGUCCGCAGCGAUUCUGACGUGCAAAUCGAUCGUCAGAGCUAGGUAUAGGGGCGAAAGACUAAUCGAACCAUCUAGUAGCU